UAACACACAAAUUGAUGAGGGAUCUCUUGAUUGGAGCAUCCAUGGACUUUCGGAUACAGCGUUGAGGCUGGAGAAUGUGCAUAUAAGCCCAGUGGAUAGGCAUAUUAAAACUUAUGGUUGAGGAAA
Molecule: long non-coding RNA, 126 nt
Organism: Populus euphratica (Euphrates poplar)
Lineage: Eukaryota; Viridiplantae; Streptophyta; Magnoliopsida; Malpighiales; Salicaceae
Exons: 3
Source: RefSeq, a predicted model, not a curated record